RNAcentral lists this ribosomal RNA (253 nucleotides) under uncultured bacterium. RNAcentral's name for it is "partial 16S ribosomal RNA". It matches the Rfam family "Bacterial small subunit ribosomal RNA", at positions 524 to 776 of the family's 1533-position model. The record is from RNAcentral.
UACGUAGGGCGCAAGCGUUGUCCGGAAUUAUUGGGCGUAAAGAGCUCGUAGGCGGCUUGUCACGUCGGGUGUGAAAGCCCGGGGCUUAACCCCGGGUCUGCAUUCGAUACGGGCAGGCUAGAGUGUGGUAGGGGAGAUCGGAAUUCCUGGUGUAGCAGUGAAAUGCGUAGAUAUCGGAAGGAACAUCAAUGGCGAAGGCGGCACUCUGGGCCGGUACUGACGCUGAGGAGCGAAAGCGUGGGGAGCGAACAGG